Molecule: non-coding RNA, 1615 nt
Organism: Castor canadensis (American beaver)
Lineage: Eukaryota; Metazoa; Chordata; Mammalia; Rodentia; Castoridae
Source: RefSeq, a predicted model, not a curated record
AGGGAAGUGGUGCGCGCUUGACGCUCAGUUGUCAGUCGCCAAAUUGAUGGGAAUAUUAGCAACCUUUGUGCCGUUUACCCCGUGACUGCAGGUCUUUCCUAAAAUAGCUUUUGAGAUCUAGUUCCCUCAGAUUCUCCUAGUUGCUGACUCUAAGAAAGAGGAACUAGGAAACACGAACCAGUGGCCGUGGCAGGGCAGGCCUGGAGCUGUUUGGGCAAUAAAGGUCAUCUCUGUGGAGACAGACGGAAAAGGUAUACAUAUGGGAAGCCAGUGAAAGGAGAUAUAAUGCUUACAUUUUUACCUCUGUCGUUUUGGGGAGAGAAGAAAAAUAUUACAAAAAAAUUUAAGGUCAAGGCCACCCGUUCUGAUACCAAUCGACUGACUCCUGAAGAAAGAAACAAUAAUGUAGUAAUAGCAGUGACACAGAGGAACAGUACCAGUUCCUGGACCAGGUGGAGCAGUGGAAAUCAGGAAACAGAAAAUGCCAGACCAUUAACUAUACUGUCCCCCAAAAUGGGAUCUUCAAGAUUGAAUUUCCAAUUCUGGACGAUUCCAGUGAGCUGCAAUUGAAGGCAGUUCAUGGCAUGUUUACAUCUCCUAGUAAACCAUACAUCCAGCUAAAAACAAGAGAUGAAAAUAUAAAGGUGGAUCACCUUUUGCAUUGGUGGUUAGUGGCAACAAACAACAGAAGGAAUUUAGCUAUAUGGUAAUCUCUUAUAGAAUAUGUUUAUGAUCUAUUUUACAAUUAUCUUAUGAUGUCCACCUUAUGCCUACACUUAACUUACUAUUUUUAACACUAUAUCCUGUGUUUUUUGCACCACAAUUAAAUAUCUUUUUUCUUUCUUCACCUAUACAUGCAUUUUCAAUUUAAAAUAGAUAAUUAAAAAUUAUACUAUGUUUAAAAUUUAAAUUUCUGUUAGAUAGACAGCAUAGAUUCAUUGUGGAAAAUCAUAAAAUGUAAGAAAGGGAAAAUAAUAACUACCACCAUGGACAAUUUUGCUAAUUCAGUUCUCCCAGUGGAGCUUUGUAUUCUUCUCAAUCACAAAUAGGGUUUUUUUCCAACAGAAAGAAAGGAAUGUUUGAAGGACUGGAUAUGCCAAUUACCUUAAUCUGAGCAUUACACAUUAAAUACGUGUAUUGAAAUGUUAUAUUAUAUCCCAUAAGUAUGCACAAGUAUUAUGUGUCAUCAAAAAUUAAGAACAGAAGAGAAAUCAGAAUUGAGAAUUUAAAAAUAAUGAUUUUUAAAAAACAUCUAAUCAGAAUUGCUUUAAUCUUACCAUUUUCUGUUUCCUAGCUUAAACUCUCUAUAUUGUCAAGAAGGCUUUUCUAGCUUUCAAAUGGUUUGAAACUUCUUUAAAUCAAGAAUUUGUGUAUAUGCAUAAAAUUAUGAUAAAUAUAACUUCAAUUGAGAUCCUACUAGCUUUAGCAAAAAAUUAAACUCAUCCACUAUUUUUUUUAGGUAGUGUCCAGGGGACAGUUGGUGGCUGUUGGCAAACAAAAUUCAACAACCUUCUCUUUAACACUAGAAAAUUCUUGGGCUCCAUAGGCCUGUGUAAUAGUGUAUUAUUAUUAUUUUUUUAUUAUUCAUAUGUGCAUACAAUGCAUGGGUCAUUUC